AAGGCUUGACAUGUUGGGCAAAACUAGGGAAACCUAGUGGAGGUUAUCCUAACACAGGUGCUGCAUGGCCGUCGUCAGUUCGUGCCGUGAGGUGUAUGGUUAAGUCCUAUAACGAACGUAACCCUUAGGUUUAGUUGCCAGCAUUCAGUUGGGGACGUCUAGACCGACUGCCCGAGUAAUCGGGAGGAAGGAAAGGAUGACGUCUGGUCGUCAUGGCCCGUUAUGCCUUGGGCGACACACGUGCUACAA
This 249-nucleotide ribosomal RNA is filed under the name uncultured bacterium. Its description in RNAcentral is "partial 16S ribosomal RNA". It matches the Rfam family "Bacterial small subunit ribosomal RNA", at positions 976 to 1230 of the family's 1533-position model. The record is from RNAcentral.